GAAGGUGACUCCAGCGCAGGGGUUCCACCCGUUCCCAUCCCGAACACGGACGUUAAGCCCUGCAGCGCCGAUGGUACUGCACACGCGGUAGAGUAGGUCGUCGCCUUCU
This 109-nucleotide ribosomal RNA is filed under the name Balneola sp. RNAcentral also lists the same sequence under 1 other name. Lineage: Bacteria; Pseudomonadati; Balneolota; Balneolia; Balneolales; Balneolaceae. The record is from RNAcentral.